This 57-nucleotide transfer RNA is filed under the name Ctenophorus fordi. Its description in RNAcentral is "tRNA-Cys". The record is from RNAcentral. Lineage: Eukaryota; Metazoa; Chordata; Lepidosauria; Squamata; Agamidae.
AGGUCUAAGGACUAUUAAAUCCAAAGUCCGACUUGCAAUCAGACAUAUUACUAGACC